GCUCCGGUGGCCUAGUGGUUAAAGCGUCCGCCUCAGAUGCGGAAGGUCGUGAGUUCGAUACCCGGUCGAGUCA
Molecule: non-coding RNA, 73 nt
Organism: Potamilus streckersoni
Lineage: Eukaryota; Metazoa; Mollusca; Bivalvia; Unionida; Unionidae
Source: the annotation of a GenBank genome assembly